RNAcentral lists this ribosomal RNA (815 nucleotides) under uncultured Planctomycetota bacterium. RNAcentral describes it as "bacterial SSU rRNA". It matches the Rfam family "Bacterial small subunit ribosomal RNA", at positions 60 to 893 of the family's 1533-position model. The record is from RNAcentral. Lineage: Bacteria; Pseudomonadati; Planctomycetota.
AGUCGAACGAAUCCCAGUUUUGUAGCAAUACCGAGCUGGGGGAAGUGGCGAAAGGGGCAGUAAUGCGUGGGUAACCUACCCCGGGGACCGGGAUAGCCACCCUAACGGGUGGGUAAUACCGGGCGAUGUAGCGAGAUCUCCUGACCUUGCUAUGAAACGAAUUUCGCCUCGUGAGGGGCUCACGUGGUAUUAGCUAGUUGGUGGGGUAACGGCCUACCAAGGCGAAGAUGCCUAGCAGGUGUGAGAGCACGACCUGCGCCACUGGCACUGAGACACUGGCCAGACUCCUACGGGAGGCUGCAGUCGAGGAUCUUCGGCAAUGGGCGCAAGCCUGACCGAGCGACGCCGCGUGCGCGAUGAAGGCCUUCGGGUUGUAAAGCGCUGUCGAGGGGGAGGAAAGCCGCAAGGUCUGACCUAUCCCUGGAGGAAGCACGGGCUAAGUUCGUGCCAGCAGCCGCGGUAAGACGAACCGUGCAAACGUUGUUCGGAAUCACUGGGCUUAAAGGGCGCGUAGGCGGGUGGUCAAGUCAGGGGUGAAAUCUUUCGGCUCAACCGGAAAACAGCCUCUGAUACUGACCGUCUUGAGCGAGGUAGGGGCAUGUGGAACUUCCGGUGGAGCGGUGAAAUGCGUUGAUAUCGGAAGAACCCGGUGGCGAAAGCGACGUGCUGACCUCUUCUGACGCUGAGGCGCGAAAGCUAGGGGAGCGAACGGGAUAAUACCCCGGUAUCCUAGCCCUAACGAUGGGUACUAGGUAUGGACUUACUGGUUCACUGCCGAACAAAAAGUUAACCCCCUGGGGAUAUGGCAAGCUCUC